AGUGAACGCUGGCGGUAGGCCUAACACAUGCAAGUCGAACGGCAGCACAGUAAGAGCUUGCUCUUACGGGUGGCGAGUGGCGGACGGGUGAGGAAUACAUCGGAAUCUACUUUUUCGUGGGGGAUAACGUAGGGAAACUUACGCUAAUACCGCAUACGACCUACGGGUGAAAGCAGGGGAUCUUCGGACCUUGCGCGAUUGAAUGAGCCGAUGUCGGAUUAGCUAGUUGGCGGGGUAAAGGCCCACCAAGGCGACGAUCCGUAGCUGGUCUGAGAGGAUGAUCAGCCACACUGGAACUGAGACACGGUCCAGACUCCUACGGGAGGCAGCAGUGGGGAAUAUUGGACAAUGGGCGCAAGCCUGAUCCAGCCAUACCGCGUGGGUGAAGAAGGCCUUCGGGUUGUAAAGCCAUUUUGUUGGGAAAGAAAAGCGGCAGGUUAAUACCCCGCUGUUCUGACGGUACCCAAAGAAUAAGCACCGGCUAACUUCGU
RNAcentral lists this ribosomal RNA (491 nucleotides) under uncultured bacterium. RNAcentral's name for it is "partial 16S ribosomal RNA". It matches the Rfam family "Bacterial small subunit ribosomal RNA", at positions 29 to 506 of the family's 1533-position model. The record is from RNAcentral.